Molecule: long non-coding RNA, 398 nt
Organism: Myotis brandtii (Brandt's bat)
Lineage: Eukaryota; Metazoa; Chordata; Mammalia; Chiroptera; Vespertilionidae
Exons: 4
Source: RefSeq, a predicted model, not a curated record
ACAUUAUAAUUUCACUGCAGGAUACAUAAAGAAGAAAACCGAGAAGGAGCAAAGCAUUUAUUACAAAUGUCUUAAUAAUGAACAAAUGUGGCAGGAAAAAAUAUAUUAAGACAAAUCUAAGACAAAUGACCAUGGAAACAAUUGAAUCUCAACAGGAUGGAAGUGUAACAGAUUCUGUGACAGAGAGAGAAACUGCAAAUAUGCAGGCCCAGACUGGUCAAAAUUCAAUCCCUAAUUUAGCUCAGGCCCACUGCAUGUGAAAUUUGCAUAUGUACUGUGACAUCAUAAACCCCAUUGCAAGAGAACCUAGCUACGGAUUGAAGGCAUCCUAUAGAAGAGGAUUAUUCAGGGGAGCUGGAAAGAAAGGUAAAUUAUGUCAACUGUGGGUUCUUUCUGCA